GGAAGGAUUGACAAAUGAUAUCCCACUCAAAGCAGUCCGUGUUUUCCCAUUAAUCUUCACCGGUGGCUUAUUCUUCAACACAUAAAUUUCAGUUACAUUGAUUGAUCCAUAUCUAAAUGAACCUUGAGGGUUAGGACGUGCACCGCUAGCAGAAACAUUCCAUCUGAUAGAUCUUGCCUGGUUCAUUGAAAAGGUUUUGUCAAACUCAUCGUUUGGUCCAUCUGGGAGGGGACCCUUUGCCUUUCCUUUGGAAUUUGUAUAGUGCAA
Molecule: unclassified non-coding RNA, 267 nt
Filed under: Hevea brasiliensis (rubber tree)
Lineage: Eukaryota; Viridiplantae; Streptophyta; Magnoliopsida; Malpighiales; Euphorbiaceae
Source: RNAcentral